RNAcentral lists this ribosomal RNA (474 nucleotides) under uncultured organism. RNAcentral describes it as "partial 16S ribosomal RNA". It matches the Rfam family "Bacterial small subunit ribosomal RNA", at positions 334 to 799 of the family's 1533-position model. The record is from RNAcentral.
CACUCCUGCGGGAGGCAGCAGUGGGGAAUUUUGGACAAUGGGCGAAAGCCUGAUCCAGCAAUGCCGCGUGUGUGAAGAAGGCCUUCGGGUUGUAAAGCACUUUUGUCCGGAAAGAAAUCCUUGGCUCUAAUACAGUCGGGGGAUGACGGUACCGGAAGAAUAAGCACCGGCUAACUACGUGCCAGCAGCCGCGGUAAUACGUGGGGUGCGAGCGUUAAUCGGAAUUACUGGGCGUAAAGCGUGCGCAGGCGGUUUGCUAAGACCGAUGUGAAAUCCCCGGGCUCAACCUGGGAACUGCAUUGGUGACUGGCAGGCUAGAGUAUGGCAGAGGGGGGUAGAAUUCCACGUGUAGCAGUGAAAUGCGUAGAGAUGUGGAGGAAUACCGAUGGCGAAGGCAGCCCCCUGGGCCAAUACUGACGCUCAUGCACGAAAGCGUGGGGAGCAAACAGGAUUAGAAACCCCAGUAGUCCCAUG